GCUUAACGCGAAGAACCUUACCUACCCUUGACAUGCCAGGGAUUCUGCAGAGAUGCGGAAGUGCUCGAAAGAGAACCUGGACACAGGUGCUGCAUGGCCGUCGUCAGCUCGUGUCGUGAGAUGUUGGGUUAAGUCCCGCAACGAGCGCAACCCUUGCCAUUAGUUGCUACGAAAGGGCACUCUAAUGGGACUGCCGGUGACAAGCCGGAGGAAGGUGGGGAUGACGUCAGGUCCUCAUGGCCCUUAUGGGUAGGGCUACACACGUCAUACAAUGGCCGGUACAAAGGGCAGCCAACCCGCGAGGGGGAGCCAAUCCCAGAAAACCGGUCGUAGUCCGGAUCGCAGUCUGCAACUCGACUGCGUGAAGUCGGAAUCGCUAGUAAUCGCGGAUCAGCAUGUCGCGGUGAAUACGUUCCCGGGUCUUGUACACACCG
This 434-nucleotide ribosomal RNA is filed under the name uncultured bacterium. Its description in RNAcentral is "bacterial SSU rRNA". It matches the Rfam family "Bacterial small subunit ribosomal RNA", at positions 954 to 1392 of the family's 1533-position model. The record is from RNAcentral.